This 404-nucleotide ribosomal RNA is filed under the name Actinomycetes bacterium. Its description in RNAcentral is "Actinobacteria bacterium partial 16S ribosomal RNA". It matches the Rfam family "Bacterial small subunit ribosomal RNA", at positions 355 to 776 of the family's 1533-position model. The record is from RNAcentral. Lineage: Bacteria; Bacillati; Actinomycetota; Actinomycetes.
UGGGGAAUAUUGGACAAUGGGCGCAAGCCUGAUCCAGCCAUGCCGCGUGAGUGAUGAAGGCCCUAGGGUUGUAAAGCUCUUUCACCGGUGAAGAUAAUGACGGUAACCGGAGAAGAAGCCCCGGCUAACUUCGUGCCAGCAGCCGCGGUAAUACGAAGGGGGCUAGCGUUGUUCGGAUUUACUGGGCGUAAAGCGCACGUAGGCGGACUUUUAAGUCAGGGGUGAAAUCCCGGGGCUCAACCCCGGAACUGCCUUUGAUACUGGAAGUCUUGAGUAUGGUGGAGGUGAGUGGAAUUCCGAGGGUAGAGGUGAAAUUCGUAGAUAUUCGGAGGAAAACCAGUGGCGAAGGCGGCUCACUGGACCAUUACUGACGCUGAGGUGCGAAAGCGUGGGGAGCAAACAGG